GAUGUUAGGUCUCUGAGAUCAUAGUAAUGCAGUCAGCAAUGAAACCUACCUGGUUAAUUAGAGAAACACAGCUCCAUCAAUGUAAGAGAGAAGUCUGGGCUGCCGAGUGUCUGACGGGACAAAUCCUUCCAACGGCCGCAGCAGGUGCUUCUUCUAGCCCUGUGUUGCAAUGACCUGCAGCUCCUGGGGAUAACUCAGGCACGCUGCUGACGCCAUCAGGAGGCUCAACACCCUCACCCGCUUACGCUACGACCAGCAAAAGCAAACCCCGCAGCUGCCUGCCAGCCGGGAAGAAGGACUGUGUUUCCAUGUUGUGAGUCUCCUCAUUGCAGCCAGAUGAUGAAUUUGCUGCUGGCUUUGUGCGAAACCGAGAAAUACCCAGCGUCCAGCUGAGGGCCCGGGUGGCAACAAAAUCAAGCUGAUGAAUUAAAGAAAUAUGGCCUGGUCAGGAUGCCUGGAGGCCUCAG
Molecule: long non-coding RNA, 467 nt
Organism: Homo sapiens (human)
Lineage: Eukaryota; Metazoa; Chordata; Mammalia; Primates; Hominidae
Source: Ensembl